UUUUAUGAUGAUCGUUCUCACAACAUUCUGUCCGGUGAAUCCUGAGCCAUGGAUAAACAACAUGCAUCACCAUCUGACC
Molecule: small nucleolar RNA, 79 nt
Filed under: Hyphopichia burtonii NRRL Y-1933
Lineage: Eukaryota; Fungi; Ascomycota; Pichiomycetes; Serinales; Debaryomycetaceae
Source: RNAcentral